RNAcentral lists this long non-coding RNA (1368 nucleotides) under Anser brachyrhynchus (Pink-footed goose). RNAcentral's name for it is "lncRNA (ENSABRG00000016438.1)". The record is from RNAcentral. Lineage: Eukaryota; Metazoa; Chordata; Aves; Anseriformes; Anatidae.
GGACAUCGUUGGGGACACAGGGACAUCAUUGGGGACUUUAUUAGGGACACGGGGACAUUGCUAGGGACGUGGGGAGGUUGUUUGGGGACAUGGGGACAUCGUUGGGGACUUCAUGAUGGGCAUGGGGACAUUGUUGGGGACAUGGGGACGUCAUUUGGGGACAGGGGGACAUCGUUAGGGACACGGGGACAUCAUUGGGGACAUCAUUAGGGACAUGGGGACACCAUUAAGAGAUGUGGGGACACUAUUAGGGACAUGGGGACAUCGUUGGGGACAUCAUUGGGGACAUGGGGACGUUGUUUGAGGGCAUGGGGACGUGGUUGGGGACAUCACUAUGGACAUGGGGACAUGGUUGGGGACGUGGGGACAUCAUUAGGGACGUGGGGACACCAUUAAGAGAUGUGGGGACACUGUUAGGGACAUGGGGACAUCCCUGGGGACAUCAUUAGGGACAUGGGGACACCAUUAAGGGAUGUGGGGACAUUGUCGGGGACAUGGGGACAUCAUUUGGGGACAUGGGGACAUUGUUGGGGAUAUGGGGACAUCAUUGGGGACAUCGUUAGGGACUUGGGGACACCAUUAAGGGACAUGGGGACAUUGUUGGGGACAUGAGAACGUCAUUUGGGGACAGGGGGACAUUGUUAGGGACACGGGGACAUCAUUGGGGACAUCAUUAGGGACAUGGGGACGUUGUUUGAGGGCAUGGGGACGUGGUUGGGGACGUGGGGACAUCAUUAGGGACAUGGGGACACCAUUAAGGGACAGGGGGACAUCGUUGGGGACAUCAUUAGGGACAUGGGGACACCAUUAAGGGACAGGGGGACAUUGCUGGGGACAUGGCGACAUCGUUGGGGACAUUGCUGGGGACGUGGGGACAUUGUUAGGGACACGGGGACAUCGUUGGGGACACAGGGUCAUUGCUGGGGACAUCGUUAGGGACACGGGGACAUCGUUGGGGACAUGGGGACAUCGUUAGGGUCGGGGGACAUUGUUGGGGACAUCAUUAGGGACAUGGGGACAUCCUUAGGGACACGGACACAGGGCACGGGGACGUCGGGGGGGGCGUGGGGACAUCGGCACGGGGACGUCACCCCUGGGGCGGGGACAGCCCGGGGGGGCCACCAGGGAGGUGACACCGACGGCGGCCUCGGCGUCACCCUGGGGCCCCGAUGUCCCCAACACCCCCAGUGUCCCCAACAAUCCCAGUGUCCCCAGUGUCCCCAGCACCCCCGGUGUCCCCAACACCCACGAAGUCACCAAACGUCCCCAUUGUCCCCGACAUCCCAAAUGUCCCCAGUAUCCUCCAUGUCCCCAGUGUCCCCGUUCCCCCUGGUGUCCCCACUGUCCCCAUUGCGCCCGCUGUCCCCA